AUGCUUGAAUACCAAGGAGGGCUUGAUAUCUCUCUUUCAUCCCCUGUGUCAAAUCCCCACCUUGGAAUCUCCAUCCUGAUUGGAUUAUUCUCCUCCAUACUCUGUCCUCAACCCCACUCUCCUAGUGCUAUACAAUCCCACCGCUGCCACAGCAGGAGGCUGCACAGAGGCGGCGGUGUACUUGUUCAUGGACCUGGCAAACCUUCAUAUGGAGUACAUUGGAAUGCCAAGGUGCCCAACAGCUUCCCCUACCCUUAUUUGUUACGAGGCUCCACACUCCCUGCCAAGUUCGUGACCCCCAAGCUUGGGAAGGAACUUCACUAA
This 324-nucleotide ribosomal RNA is filed under the name Triticum aestivum (bread wheat). RNAcentral's name for it is "partial small subunit ribosomal RNA". The record is from RNAcentral. Lineage: Eukaryota; Viridiplantae; Streptophyta; Magnoliopsida; Poales; Poaceae.